GUCUACUGCCGUGCCACCCUGAAUAAGCUCGAUGUCUGAUCUCAGUAACUAAGCAGGGGCGAGCCUGGUUAGUACUUGGAUGGGAGACCACCUAGGAAGACCAAGUGCCAUAGGCA
RNAcentral lists this ribosomal RNA (116 nucleotides) under Pteropus alecto (black flying fox). Lineage: Eukaryota; Metazoa; Chordata; Mammalia; Chiroptera; Pteropodidae. The record is from RNAcentral.